GCGGGGGUAGCAGAGCCAGGUCAAACCUAAAAGGUGAAACGGGACUGUAUGCGCGGGACUCAAGAUCCCGUCCCGAAGGGGUACGUGGGUUCAAAUCCCACCCCCCGCA
RNAcentral lists this transfer RNA (109 nucleotides) under Candidatus Bathyarchaeota archaeon. Its description in RNAcentral is "tRNA-Leu". It matches the Rfam family "tRNA". From Rfam's summary of the family: Transfer RNA (tRNA) molecules are approximately 80 nucleotides in length. Their secondary structure includes four short double-helical elements and three loops (D, anti-codon, and T loops). Lineage: Archaea; Thermoproteati; Candidatus Bathyarchaeota. The record is from RNAcentral.